Molecule: non-coding RNA, 5755 nt
Organism: Theobroma umbraticum
Lineage: Eukaryota; Viridiplantae; Streptophyta; Magnoliopsida; Malvales; Malvaceae
Source: RefSeq, a predicted model, not a curated record
GUCGUCUCAGCUUCUGAGAAUCAUUUUCCUUUUUCUCCCAACAGACUUUGCCUUUGAGACUUUCAGUUGAACUUUAACCGUCAAAUCUUCGUAGACCCCAUCCAAUCAUUACCUUCCACAUUUCCACCCCCGACGGAAAAGUUUGAGGAAGAAAUUAGACAAAUGGAGAGCGAUCUCUUGGAAAUCUCUGGAGAAGACGACGAUUCGUUGCUUUCACAGCACGCUCAAGCCCAAACUGACGACGUUUCGGCCUUCAACACUUCCUAUUUCUCUUGCUCCCCUCUCCAUUUCCCUAGAUCUAAUCCCCUAGGUGAGAAAGUCAAAAACCCUAGUUUUUCAUCGAACAUUGACAAAGAAAAUAUUAACAAUAAUGCGAGUAAAUCAGAACUUCCAAAGCUAAGCUUGGAUCCACAGCAAAUGAAGAGGAAGAGAAAAGGUAGAGGUUAUAAUUUGAGGAAAAGCUUAGCUUGGGACCGCGCUUUCUUUACUGAAGAAGGUGUUUUGAAUUCGACGGAAUUAUCUUUGAUUAGUGGGGAUUUCGGUAAUUUGAGCGGGGAGAAAUUGUCGGUUAUUGAAGAAGAGAGGAUAGAAUCGUUAUGCGGUGAUUCACCUGAUUUGCAGGCACUAGAGAAUAAUUUAUUUAAAGAGUUGCCUUUAAAUAAUAGUAAUAAGAAUGAGCAGAAGAAGAUUGGUAGCAGCUUAUUGCAGAAGAGUUCGGGUUCAGCCCCCCGUUCUGCGGUGAAACAGAAUGUUCUUUCAGUUCAUGAUGUUAAUAGAAGUGGUUCUAAGCGUAGCGGUUGUCCAAGGCCUGUUAUAUCAUCUGCUCUUAAAAGACCUGCAAAUGUGAGCACAACAAAGGCAGCAGCUAAGGAGCCAAUAAUUUCUAAAAUACCUGUUCGAAAGCCAGAUUCCCUAGUACUUUCUACAACUGCCAAGAGUGCCUCAAACAUCAAUAAAGCAAAGGGGAAUCAGAGUGCUCAAGCAGUCAAUGCCCACAGAAACAUUGGAUUGUCGGGUUCCAAGAGAAGUACUAGAAGCACUCAAAAUGAUGCAAAGUCUAGUCUUUCUAGUAGAUCUCAAAACACAAAGUCCUAUGCUCAACAGGCUAAGAGAAAUGUGGGAAGCUCAGCAUUGGCAAGUCAUUUAUCAACCUAUUUACACCAUCCAUCAGUUACUAAGGCAGAUAAUGGCUUAAAGGGCAACCAAGAUCCUGUUGUGGCUGCGGCUCAUGGAUGUACUAAUCAUGAAGCUGGUUCCAGCAAAAUUGCUUCUCUUCCUCAAAGUGGUUGCCGUAUUGGUGGAAACACUCAAUAUGCACAGCCACGAAUAGCAAAACCAUCUGGUUUACGGAUGCCUUCACCAUCAUUGGGAUUUUUUUCUCAGUCAAAGACUAAUUCUUCACAGAAUCCACAGAGUAGUUCUCAGCUAUUCAACAACCCAAAGUCUAAAAUUCCAAAUCUGUUGAAGCUUGGUGUCUUCAAUUCUAUUUGUGAGAGCCCCACUCCAUCUAUGAAAGUACCUGUAGUGAAUAAUGGUGUAGCAGCAACAAAAACCGGAAGUAUGUCAAGUACAGAAUCCUCUGUUCCAUCAAGUGUUAAUUCUUUAUGUGAAAAUAUCAGACCCAACUUACAAAUGCCAAGGGUGGAAGUGAAGGUUCUCUGCAAUUCUGACAACCAUGAAUUGAUGAAUAAUCAGCAACAAUUGCACACUAUUGACAAUGAUCUUAAUCAGCAAAUUCAAAAUGUAGGAUUGCAGUGUACUGAUAACAAGUUACUCUUGCAAAGUCAAUCCUCCGAACAAGUGAACUUAGAUUAUAAGAGGAGUGAAGAUCUGGUUAUCCCCCAAAGUCCAGAUCAGCAUGCGGAUGAAUCUAAAGAUCCCCAUUUUAUCUCUCAUUGUAGCCUGCAAAUAAAAGGAGCCUUGAAGACUGAUGUUGGCAACCAACUUUCAGGAAAGAAACAGCAUAAUUCAUUAAUAGAGGAUUUUGAUCUCUUUCCACAGUUGCAUUCUAGUGAUAUGAAUAGUAAUAAUAUACAUGGUUCUUCAAAAGUAAAAGAUGAUCAAAUAAGCAGCACGCCUGAUAGUCAUGGCCAACCAAGUGAACAAGUUGAGCAGGCAAAACCUUGCACCUUUCAUGAUGAUCAGAUAAUUAAUGAGAUUGAGAGGCCGCAUAUUAAUGAUAGUGCUAUGCUCAAGGAGGGUGAAGAUUCAGAAGAAUUUCUUAGUUACAAUAGUGUGCAGAGUAAUGGUAUUUGCCAAAAAGUCAGAGAUUGCAGUGCCAGUGAAUUAGAAAUGUCCAAUGGUCUAUCUCACUAUAGAGACGGAAUCCAAGGAAACGAUGGUUCUGGUGAGUCUGCUGAUUUUAAUCUGAAAUCAAAUGUGGGAGAUGCACAAAUGCAUUCUUUCAAAUGUGACCUAUCUCUUGAAAACAGCAGUAGUCUCCUGAAUGAUUCAGAGGCGGAUAAUCAGCAGUUACUUGUAGAGGAUGUAAAUGAAAAACUAGUUGAACCGCCACCUCUUCCAGAUCCAGGCAUUGUAGUAGAAAGAGUCUUCCAGGAUAAGUAUGGAUCACAUUCAACUGAUUGCUUAUCACGCGGGGAAAUCUUUUCUUCUGAAAAGGUUUUAGCUGAAAGCAAUCUUCAAAGUGUUAAAGAUGUAGCAUCAGAACCAGCUGAUGCCUUUCAAAGUGAACCAGGAAAUCCAGGUGCUCCUUGUUUGAUACCGCCUGCAUUGCAAAAGGGUGGUCAUGAGAUGACUGAUGUGGUUGAGUGCCUAUAUGUGGAGCAUGUGGUCUCGGUUUCUACUGAUACACAGUGCAACUGUGACAUUAAUCUCCUUUGUGAACCCACAUCUGAGGGAUUAGAAGGGAUCGGUGAAGAUCAAGUAACCGGAUCAAUAACUGCUUGUGAUAUUGGUGUCAGUAAUGACCGCCAAAGCAGUGCAGAUCUUAGUGGUAGUGAAAUUGAUAAUUACCAGUCAAUAGCACACUUUAGCCCAGUAGUGCAAUUUAAAGGUUAUUCUGAGAUAGAUGAUAUCACUGACCUUAAAAGUGUUGAAAGCAAGCGAUAUGAUUCGUCUGCAAAAUAUAAUUCUGCCAUUAGUGAGCCUGAAGAAAAAAUCACUUCUUGUCAUAUUGAUGCAUCAUCUAUGCUCACUAACUCAUUGCUUGAUAAACAAAAUGACCAUGAAAAGUCUAUGGCCCAAGCUGAGCUGAUACAGUCCUCCUUUGAAGCUUGUAAAGCAUCCCAACAGAAUCAGAUUCCAGAUGCAUAUCACAGGCUUAAGUCUGUGGAGGGAAAAUUUGCUGAAGAGUCCCAUAAUUUGGACAGUAAUAAGCUUGCAGAUGUCAGUCCCGAAGAUAAAGGUUCUGUUGGAUUAGUAGUGGAAGGUCCUUUUGGUCUGUCUCAGGUAGAAUGCAUAGAUGAAACAAAUGAAUUAUGUGCUGCUGGAGCUAACGAGACGACUACAAGAUCUUUUGAGGAACAUGCACAUUCGCAGUCCUUUGAUAGUAUUCCACUUGAGAGCUGCAAAAGUAACCUUUUCACUUCAGCAGAAAUUAACAAUUAUGCAAUGGUUGUUGAGGAUUUAAAUGACCCUCCUGAUCUUCAAAAUGUUGUCAUUGUUGAACAAAUUUUGUCAGACAAAAUUGGAUUGUCUGUGAAUGAGGAAGUAUCAAGUUCUGUUAAGAUUAAGGUGUCAGAUGACAAUCAUGAUUGUUAUAAUGAUAUGAUCUUCAGGCCUGACAGUGAACAAAGUGGCCAAGCAACCUCUUUGAAUUUUGAUUUGUCUUCAUUGAGUGAAGAUCAAAAUUCUGGGGCAGUAAAUACCUGCAAUUCACAGGCAUUUUGCUCUUUGAAUGAGGAAUCAACAUCCUCAAUCAAUGCAAAUCAGACCUCUUCAAGUGGAAUUGUCUUACAGGAAGAAGUGAAUAGAUUGGAGAAAAGUGUGCCACAGGAAUUAAACAGUGCUAUGAUCCCCAUGGAAGCUGAGGGUGGACCAACUUCUAAUGAGAAAACUGGGGAUGACAAAAAACAAGAUGCUCCCAUAGUGAAGCCUCCUCUGAAUGCUGUUCCAUCUUCUGAUGAAUGGUUAGCUGCAUUUGAAGCUGCUGGAGAGGAAUUAAACACUGCUGUGAUCCCUGUGGAAGCUAAGGGUAGAACGACUUCUAAUGAGAAAACUGGGAAUGAAAAAAAACAAGAUGCUCCUGUAGUGAAGCCUCCUACAAAUGCUGUUCCAUUUUCAGAUGAAUGGUUAGCUGCAUUUGAAGCUGCUGGAGAGGAAAUUUUAACAAUGAAAAGUGGUGCUGUACAACAUUCACCCAAGGACAAGUCUCUGCCUGAACCUGGUCCAUGGUCCCCGGUGAGAAGGAAGAACAAUCAAGGGAUUGGACCAUUUGAUUGCACAAAAUUUACAAACACAAACAUCCCACCUGGUCUUGAGUAGAGGAGGCUGAGGCUCACCUAAUCAUCUGUUUUUUACAGCUAACAAAAGUGACAAUUCUACUAUCACGCAACACCUAACCAAGGUUUGAGCAAAUAUAUAAAUAUAAAUGCCACAAUUCUGGCAUAUUUCAAGCUUCUUUUGUAUAUCAGUUUGAUCAGUUUUCAACUAGACUUAGCUGGAAAUUUGUACCGCCGGCCAAUCAAACUUUCCUAUGAUCUCCAGCAUCCAAGACUGUCUGUGCCAUGACCCCGGCUUCAGAGCUUACCCUUAAACAACUUCAAGACUUUCACAAUAUCGACCGCCAGGCAUAUACUAGACUGGUAAUAGGCCUAGGCUUCGACCUUUUCCCAUCCAUGAAAAUCGUUGCCUUUUGGAAUUUUCUUGAAAGAAGAGGCUUCAAGCAUUUCGUCAAGAACCUCCAACAAUUACCUGAUCCAUUGCUUUUUUCUUUAGCCAAAGAGGCCAUAAUGUUCUUACACUGCUUAUACCUUUCUACUCAAGAAAUCUUUCCAAGGGUCCAUAGAGAUUUCCCUGUUACGCGUAAACUCGUUGGUCAACAUAUCUCGUUGGCUUAUCUUUUUAAGAACAGGGAAUGCCCCAAAAGAAUGAUUGAGGAUUUCGUCGAAGAUGUGUGCCGACUAGCAUUUUGUGAUAUUGUUCUAACGCGUUUGGCUUGCAAGAAAUCUUCAAAAUCUAACAGUGCAUUGCAAUGCCAAACUCCUCAUGGGGGAAAAAUGCAACAGAAGGUGGCUACUGCGACAAAGGACAAGGCUAGAGUUGGUUCAGAAGAUCGAACAUUGUUCAUGACCUUCUCCAGGGGACAUCCUGUUAUAAACCAAGAUCUUCAUGGUUUCAUUGUCAGGAAAUUUGGCGAAUGUGUGGAGGCAAUCUAUAUGGAUAAAAGCCCGCUCCCUCUGUUUGCUUGUGUUGUUCUUAAGUCACUCUCGGACAUGUCAAUGAUUCUUGGGGGCAAGAAGUUGGUGAAAUUCUUCAUUAAUGGGAAACAGGUUAGGGCUAGAAGAUUUGUCUCAAGAAGUGUGAAGCAGUCUCGAUGCACAGCAGCAAGAGCAACAGGUAUUCCUGAAAGGCGACUUAGCAGUUUUUGCUAGACGGAAGAUCAUACUGUAUUGUACUAAUUUACUGCUAAUUACUAAUAGGUGUUUGCUGGUAGAAGAAACUGUUUAGACAAUUGCUAAUCUAGGACAAGGUUUCUAAAAUGAGAAAAAAAGAAAAAACAAGAACAUUCUUUUGUAGCUUGUUUGGUUUCUGAUAGAAGAGCCGACAUACCAAAAUCCACUGUUCAAUAUACAAA